CCCGUGGCGGCAGCUACACAUGCAGUCGAACGGUAGCACAGAGGAGCUUGCUCCUCGGGUGACGAGUGGCGGACGGGUGAGUAAUGUCUGGGAAACUGCCCGAUGGAGGGGGAUAACUACUGGAAACGGUAGCUAAUACCGCAUAACGUCGCAAGACCAAAGUGGGGGACCUUCGGGCCUCACACCAUCGGAUGUGCCCAGAUGGGAUUAGCUAGUAGGUGGGGUAACGGCUCACCUAGGCGACGAUCCCUAGCUGGUCUGAGAGGAUGACCAGCCACACUGGAACUGAGACACGGUCCAGACUCCUACGGGAGGCAGCAGUGGGGAAUAUUGCACAAUGGGCGCAAGCCUGAUGCAGCCAUGCCGCGUGUAUGAAGAAGGCCUUCGGGUUGUAAAGUACUUUCAGCGGGGAGGAAGGCGACGCGGUUAAUAACCGCGUCGAUUGACGUUACCCGCAGAAGAAGCACCGGCUAACUCCGUGCCAGCAGCCCGGGGGUAAUUCA
This 503-nucleotide ribosomal RNA is filed under the name Pseudomonas sp. RNAcentral describes it as "bacterial SSU rRNA". It matches the Rfam family "Bacterial small subunit ribosomal RNA", at positions 37 to 527 of the family's 1533-position model. Lineage: Bacteria; Pseudomonadati; Pseudomonadota; Gammaproteobacteria; Pseudomonadales; Pseudomonadaceae. The record is from RNAcentral.